RNAcentral lists this transfer RNA (73 nucleotides) under bacterium. RNAcentral describes it as "tRNA-Lys". It matches the Rfam family "tRNA". Rfam says of the family: Transfer RNA (tRNA) molecules are approximately 80 nucleotides in length. Their secondary structure includes four short double-helical elements and three loops (D, anti-codon, and T loops). RNAcentral also lists the same sequence under 4 other names. The record is from RNAcentral.
GCGUCCAUAGCUCAGUCGGUAGAGCACCUGCCUUUUAAGCAGAGGGUCGUUGGUUCGAUUCCAACUGGACGCA